AGAAUCAACGCUGGCGGCGUGCCUAACACAUGCAAGUCGAACGAGAAAGUGGGAGCAAUCCCAUGAGUAAAGUGGCGCACGGGUGAGUAACACGUGACUAACCUACCCUUGAGUGGGGGAUAAACCUAGGGAAACCUGGGCUAAUACCGCAUAAUACCUACGGGUCAAAGGAGCAAUUCGCUUUAGGAGGGGUCGCGGCAGAUUAGUUAGUUGGCGGGGUAAUGGCCCACCAAGACAGUGAUCUGUA
RNAcentral lists this ribosomal RNA (247 nucleotides) under uncultured bacterium. Its description in RNAcentral is "partial small subunit ribosomal RNA". It matches the Rfam family "Bacterial small subunit ribosomal RNA", at positions 26 to 285 of the family's 1533-position model. The record is from RNAcentral.